UUUGUGAUCUUUUUUUUUUAUAAUCCUGUGUAUAUUUUUCCAGCUGAAACUGAACUGUAUGAGAAAACCUGGAAAUGGAUGAAAUGUAUCUAUAAUGUUAGCCCUGAAGAUUUCCCGAUGGUCUAAACCAAUGGCAGUGAUGAAAUGGAUCUAGCCCAAGAAGUAGAAUUUGAACACCUGGAAAAAUUACAAGGUACAAAUCAAUUUUUAUUUCAGUUCCUCAAUAAAUGAUUCUCCCAAUCGA
Molecule: long non-coding RNA, 244 nt
Organism: Leptinotarsa decemlineata (Colorado potato beetle)
Lineage: Eukaryota; Metazoa; Arthropoda; Insecta; Coleoptera; Chrysomelidae
Source: RefSeq, a predicted model, not a curated record